AGCGAACGCUGGCGGCAGGCCUAACACAUGCAAGUCGAACGAACCUUUCGGGGUUAGUGGCGGACGGGUGAGUAACACGUGGGAACGUGCCUUUAGGUUCGGAAUAACUCAGGGAAACUUGUGCUAAUACCGAAUGUGCCCUUCGGGGGAAAGAUUUAUCGCCUUUAGAGCGGCCCGCGUCUGAUUAGCUAGUUGGUUGAGGUAAUGGCUCACCAAGGCGACGAUCAGUAGCUGGUCUGAGAGGAUGAUCAGCCACAUUGGGACUGAGACACAGCCCAAACUCCUACGGGAGGCAGCAGUGGGGAAUCUUGCGCAAUGGGCGAAAGCCUGACGCAGCCAUGCCGCGUGAAUGAUGAAGGUCUUAGGAUUGUAAAAUUCUUUCACCGGGGACGAUAAUGACGGUACCCGGAGAAGAAGCCCCGGCUAACUUCGUG
Molecule: ribosomal RNA, 434 nt
Filed under: uncultured bacterium
Lineage: Bacteria
Description: partial 16S ribosomal RNA
Rfam family: Bacterial small subunit ribosomal RNA
Source: RNAcentral